RNAcentral lists this ribosomal RNA (490 nucleotides) under uncultured bacterium. Its description in RNAcentral is "partial 16S ribosomal RNA". It matches the Rfam family "Bacterial small subunit ribosomal RNA", at positions 30 to 507 of the family's 1533-position model. The record is from RNAcentral.
AUUGAACGCUGGCGGCAGGCCUAACACAUGCAAGUCGAACGGUAACAGGAAACAGCUUGCUGUUUCGCUGACGAGUGGCGGACGGGUGAGUAAUGUCUGGGAAACUGCCUGAUGGAGGGGGAUAACUACUGGAAACGGUAGCUAAUACCGCAUAACGUCGCAAGACCAAAGAGGGGGACCCUCGGGCCUCUUGCCAUCGGAUGUGCCCAGAUGGGAUUAGCUUGUUGGUGGGGUAACGGCUCACCAAGGCGACGAUCCCUAGCUGGUCUGAGAGGAUGACCAGCCACACUGGAACUGAGACACGGUCCAGACUCCUACGGGAGGCAGCAGUGGGGAAUAUUGCCCAAUGGGCGCAAGCCUGAUGCAGCCAUGCCGCGUGUAUGAAGAAGGCCUUCGGGUUGUAAAGUACUUUCAGCGGGGAGGAAGGGAGUAAAGUUAAUACCUUGGCUCAUUGACGUUACCCGCAGAAGAAGCACCGGCUAACUCCGUG